UCUUCGUGGUAUAACGGAUAC
RNAcentral lists this non-coding RNA (21 nucleotides) under Caenorhabditis elegans. The record is from RNAcentral. Lineage: Eukaryota; Metazoa; Nematoda; Chromadorea; Rhabditida; Rhabditidae.